AGAACGAACGCUGGCGGCAUGCCUAAUACAUGCAAGUCGAACGAACUCUUCGGAGUUAGUGGCGCACGGGUGCGUAACGCGUGGGAAUCUGCCCUUGGGUUCGGAAUAACAGUUGGAAACGACUGCUAAUACCGGAUGAUGACGUAAGUCCAAAGAUUUAUCGCCCAAGGAUGAGCCCGCGUAGGAUUAGCUAGUUGGUGGGUAAAGCCUACCGAAGGCGACGAUCCUUAGCUGGUCUGAGAGGAUGAUCAGCCACACUGGGACUGAGACACGGCCCAGACUCCUACGGGAGGCAGCAGUAGGGAAUAUUGGAC
Molecule: ribosomal RNA, 314 nt
Filed under: uncultured soil bacterium
Lineage: Bacteria
Description: bacterial SSU rRNA
Rfam family: Bacterial small subunit ribosomal RNA
Source: RNAcentral